AGAACGAACGGUGGCGGCGUGGAUAAGACAUGCAAGUCGAACGGGAUAUUAUUUGUAGCAAUACAAGUAGUGUUCAGUGGCGCAAGGGUGCGUAACACGUGGGCAAUCUGCCCUGGAGCGCGGGAUAGCUCGGCGAAAGCCGAAUUAAUACCGCAUGUGACUAUCGAAGGAGUCUUCGAGACGUUAAAGGUGGCGCAAGCUGCCGCUCUUGGAUGAGCCCGCGGCCUAUCAGCUAGUUGGCGAGGUAAAAGC
This 252-nucleotide ribosomal RNA is filed under the name uncultured soil bacterium. RNAcentral's name for it is "partial 16S ribosomal RNA". It matches the Rfam family "Bacterial small subunit ribosomal RNA", at positions 26 to 264 of the family's 1533-position model. The record is from RNAcentral.